Molecule: long non-coding RNA, 1108 nt
Organism: Brassica rapa (field mustard)
Lineage: Eukaryota; Viridiplantae; Streptophyta; Magnoliopsida; Brassicales; Brassicaceae
Source: RefSeq, a predicted model, not a curated record
CAACGUCGUCUUUGAAAGUUCGAAUACUCAUUCGGAUGAGUUCUUUGUAGAGAAAGCUGAUGAAGAUUCUGCGAGUGUCUUUGCCUCUGAAACUCAGAAAGACAUCGAACUUUUGUGGAGUAGUAGAAGAAGACGGUGAAAACAUUGGAUUCGAGCACAAGUAAGCAUUGAUCUUUUACUUUAAAACUUUAGAAGAUGAUUGUAGAUUUACUAGGUAAUUAGAUAAUAUAUAUAACUUGAGGUUCGCAUUUUUUUUUAAUUACAAAGAACAAAAAUACUGAGACAUUUCCAAGAAAAUGCUGAGAAUUUGCCAAGAAAAUGUUUUAAAAAGUCAUGAAACAGAACGGGUCCAAAGAUGAAAAUCUCCAUAUACAUCAACCAAUAUUUGAGUUACCGGUCCACGUGUUUUGCUUGAUGUAUGUUACAUAUGUAAUGCAAAUUCUAAGUUUAUAAAAUCAUUAUAUAGAUACCUAACCAUUUGAAAAUUGUAUAAGUAUGUAUUUAUAUUAUAAAGUUGUGACGAAUUAUUAACGUUUGCAAUAUAAACGUGCAAUCGUAAGUAAGACAGGCGCGGAAAAAACGGUAGGGUGACGGUUGUGCCUCAUCAAACAGAAAAACUGUCUGUGGUCGGUGCAUAAUUGAUAAAGUUUUUAAUAUUACAACUUAUGAAUUAAGGUCAGUAACGUAGAGGAUUUAACAACAAUCGAACUGACUUUUUCUUGAAUAUGAUAUCUAACAGAAUAUUAAUUUCGAUAUUGCAGAUAGUUUGAUAGAAAAGUGUUGACGUUAAGACUUAGAAAGUAAAUAAAAGGUUAAUCUGUUGGUGCAACAAAUGAAAGCAGAUGAAAACAUAAAAUGUUAAUGAAACACUCACACCUCCUUUGGAGUUGGAGUUUCUUACAACCUUGGAUACAGAAAAUAACCAUUGAGAAUGUAGUUUCGGCCGUGACAUGAUCGAUUAUCACCACAAGCAUGACGUCGCAAGCAGAGCCGUCGAAAUGAAAAAGGCAUUUGCUUCAGCCUCCAGAGAAUAAGAAAAUUACAUAACACCUUGUCAUCACUAAUCUGUAUGACUAGGAAUAUUAAGACAUAAAAUGAAGAUUAUUAA